CAAUCGCGUAUAUUAAAGUUGUUGCAGUUAAAAAGCUCGUAGUUGGAUUUGUGGCGUACGGUGUGUUCCGGGCACUUGUUGUCUGAGUAACCUGCUGUUGCCAUCCUUGGGUGGAACCUGUGUGGCAUUAGGUUGUCGUGCAGGGGAUGCCCAUCAUUUACUGUGAAAAAAUUAGAGUGUUCAAAGCAGGCUUAUGCCGUUGAAUAUAUUAGCAUGGAAUAAUGAGAUAGGACUUUUUUGCUAUUUUGUUGGUUUGCGCAAAGAGGUAAUGAUUAAUAGGGACAGUUGGGGGUAUUCGUAUUCCAUUGUCAGAGGUGAAAUUCUUGGAUUUUUGGAAGACGAACUACUGCGAAAGCAUUUACCAAGGAUGUUUUCAUUAA
Molecule: ribosomal RNA, 380 nt
Filed under: uncultured eukaryote
Lineage: Eukaryota
Description: partial 18S ribosomal RNA
Rfam family: Eukaryotic small subunit ribosomal RNA
Source: RNAcentral